ACGAGGCACUACGGUGCUGAAGCAACAAAUGCCCUGCUUCCAGGAAAAGCCUCUAAGCAUCAGGUAACAUCAAAUCGUACCCCAAACCGACACAGGUGGUCAGGUAGAGAAUACCAAGGCGCUUGAGAGAACUCGGGUGAAGGAACUAGGCAAAAUGGUGCCGUAACUUCGGGAGAAGGCACGCUGACACGUAGGUGAAGUGAUUUACUCAUGGAGCUGAAGUCAGUCGAAGAUACCAGCUGGCUGCAACUGUUUAUUAAAAACACAGCACUGUGCAAACACGAAAGUGGACGUAUACGGUGUGACGCCUGCCCGGUGCCGGAAGGUUAAUUGAUGGGGUCAGCGCAAGCGAAGCUCCUGAUCGAAGCCCCGGUAAACGGCGGCCGUAACUAUAACGGUCCUAAGGUAGCGAAAUUCCUUGUCGGGUAAGUUCCGACCUGCACGAAUGGCGUAAUGAUGGCCAGGCUGUCUCCACCCGAGACUCAGUGAAAUUGAACUCGCUGUGAAGAUGCAGUGUACCCGCGGCAAGACGGAAAGACCCCGUGAACCUUUACUAUAGCUUGACACUGAACAUUGAGCCUUGAUGUGUAGGAUAGGUGGGAGGCUUUGAAGUGUGGACGCCAGUCUGCAUGGAGCCGACCUUGAAAUACCACCCUUUAAUGUUUGAUGUUCUAACGUGGACCCGUGAUCCGGGUUGCGGACAGUGUCUGGUGGGUAGUUUGACUGGGGCGGUCUCCUCCUAAAGAGUAACGGAGGAGCACGAAGGUUGGCUAAUCCUGGUCGGACAUCAGGAGGUUAGUGCAAUGGCAUAAGCCAGCUUGACUGCGAGCGUGACGGCGCGAGCAGGUGCGAAAGCAGGUCAUAGUGAUCCGGUGGUUCUGAAUGGAAGGGCCAUCGCUCAACGGAUAAAAGGUACUCCGGGGAUAACAGGCUGAUACCGCCCAAGAGUUCAUAUCGACGGCGGUGUUUGGCACCUCGAUGUCGGCUCAUCACAUCCUGGGGCUGAAGUAGGUCCCAAGGGUAUGGCUGUUCGCCAUUUAAAGUGGUACGCGAGCUGGGUUUAGAACGUCGUGAGACAGUUCGGUCCCUAUCUGCCGUGGGCGCUGGAGAACUGAGGGGGGCUGCUCCUAGUACGAGAGGACCGGAGUGGACGCAUCACUGGUGUUCGGGUUGUCAUGCCAAUGGCACUGCCCGGUAGCUAAAUGCGGAAGAGAUAAGUGCUGAAAGCAUCUAAGCACGAAACUUGCCCCGAGAUGAGUUCUCCCUGAGACUUAGAGUCUCCUGAAGGAACGUUGAAGACGACGACGUUGAUAGGCCGGGUGUGUAAGCGCAGCGAUGCGUUGAGCUAACCGGUACUAAUGAACCGUGAGGCUUAACC
RNAcentral lists this ribosomal RNA (1378 nucleotides) under Salmonella enterica. RNAcentral's name for it is "bacterial LSU rRNA". It matches the Rfam family "Bacterial large subunit ribosomal RNA", at positions 1569 to 2925 of the family's 2925-position model. Lineage: Bacteria; Pseudomonadati; Pseudomonadota; Gammaproteobacteria; Enterobacterales; Enterobacteriaceae. RNAcentral also lists the same sequence under 1 other name. The record is from RNAcentral.